CAUUAAUAACAAAAGAGAUUGGUUUAUAUAUGCAAACUAAGGAACACAAUGUAUGCCCUACAUAUUAAUUUUAACAUACAUGUGUCAAGGAUGGAUUGUAUAGGUAUUUCACCCGCCAUAACCUAAUGAAGGGCCCAUGGAUCAAUAAGUGACUGUAAGAAGUUACUUUACCCAUAUGUGGAAGUUUAGGUUAAAAUAAUCUCUGAAUUAAUAACAGACAUCCUGCUGUAUUUUCUGUGUAUAUUAAGAUUGCAUAUAAUGUAAAAGUCUAAAAUUUAGUAUCUCAGAAACACAAAUUAAUAAAUGGUUCUUCAAUUUUACAAUGCACACUGACAUAUACCUACACAUAUAGAAAGGUAUAUUAGACUUGUGCAUUCAGAGUUGUACUAAUUGCAAACUUAAAUUUUUUUUACAACAUUUGCAUAUUUGGUCAAUUUGUACAAAUCUUUGAAAACGGGGCAAGGUCCCCCAUGAAACAAACAAAAA
Molecule: long non-coding RNA, 486 nt
Organism: Spea bombifrons (plains spadefoot toad)
Lineage: Eukaryota; Metazoa; Chordata; Amphibia; Anura; Pelobatidae
Exons: 2
Source: RefSeq, a predicted model, not a curated record